GAUGAACGCUGGCGGCGUGCCUAAUACAUGCAAGUCGAGCGAACGGACGAGAAGCUUGCUUCUCUGAUGUUAGCGGCGGACGGGUGAGUAACACGUGGAUAACCUACCUAUAAGACUGGGAUAACUUCGGGAAACCGGAGCUAAUACCGGAUAAUAUUUUGAACCGCAUGGUUCAAAAGUGAAAGACGGUCUUGCUGUCACUUAUAGAUGGAUCCGCGCUGCAUUAGCUAGUUGGUAAGGUAACGGCUUACCAAGGCAACGAUGCAUAGCCGACCUGAGAGGGUGAUCGGCCACACUGGAACUGAGACACGGUCCAGACUCCUACGGGAGGCAGCAGUAGGGAAUCUUCCGCAAUGGGCGAAAGCCUGACGGAGCAACGCCGCGUGAGUGAUGAAGGUCUUCGGAUCGUAAACCUCUGUUAUUAGGGAAGAACAGAUGUGUAAGUAACUGUGCACAUCUUGACGGUACCUAAUCAGAAAGCCACGGCUAACUACGUG
This 497-nucleotide ribosomal RNA is filed under the name uncultured bacterium. RNAcentral's name for it is "partial 16S ribosomal RNA". It matches the Rfam family "Bacterial small subunit ribosomal RNA", at positions 28 to 507 of the family's 1533-position model. The record is from RNAcentral.